UAAAGAAUUUCGGUAUGGGAUGGGGAUGCGUUCCAUUAGUUAGUUGGCGGGGUAACGGCCCACCAAGACGACGAUGGAUAGGGGUUCUGAGAGGAAGGUCCCCCACAUUGGAACUGAGACACGGUCCAAACUCCUACGGGAGGCAGCAGUGAGGAAUAUUGGUCAAUGGACGAGAGUCUGAACCAGCCAAGUAGCGUGAAGGAUGACUGCCCUAUGGGUUGUAAACUUCUUUUAUAUGGGAAUAAAACGUUCCACGUGUGGGAUUUUGUAUGUACCAUAUGAAUAAGGAUCGGCUAACUCCGUGCCAGCAGCCGCGGUAAUACGGAGGAUCCGAGCGUUAUCCGGAUUUAUUGGGUUUAAAGGGAGCGUAGGUGGAUUGUUAAGUCAGUUGUGAAAGUUUGCGGCUCAACCGUAAAAUUGCAGUUGAAACUGGCAGUCUUGAGUACAGUAGAGGUGGGCGGAAUUCGUGGUGUAGCGGUGAAAUGCUUAGAUAUCACGAAGAACUCCGAUUGCGAAGGCAGCUCACUGGACUGCAACUGACACUGAGGCUCGAAAGUGUGGGUAUCAAACAGGAUUAGAUACCCUGGUAGUCCACACAGUAAACGAUGAAUACUCGCUGUUUGCGAUAUACAGCAA
This 636-nucleotide ribosomal RNA is filed under the name uncultured bacterium. RNAcentral describes it as "bacterial SSU rRNA". It matches the Rfam family "Bacterial small subunit ribosomal RNA", at positions 202 to 842 of the family's 1533-position model. The record is from RNAcentral.